Molecule: long non-coding RNA, 759 nt
Organism: Mesocricetus auratus (golden hamster)
Lineage: Eukaryota; Metazoa; Chordata; Mammalia; Rodentia; Cricetidae
Exons: 3
Source: RefSeq, a predicted model, not a curated record
CAGUUUACCUCCUUCCUCCCUGUGGAAGGGAACUUUGCCUGGCACGAUCACCAUUGUCUCUGGGCUCUCCCAAGGAGCGAGAACAUGCUGCCUGAAGGCGCUUCCUCUGACUGAGAUUCUCCAGCCAGGGCCUGUGUCUGCACCAGAGCCGCUGAAAGGGAACGUCCAGUCUCGUGGCUCCGCCCCCUGACAAGCAUGAAUUGGCCCAGGGUUUCUCUGUGGCUUUGGAGGCUGUCCUGGAACUAGCUCUGUAGAGCAGGCUGGCCUAGAACUCACAGAGAUCUGCCUGCCUCUGCCUCCUGAGUCCUGGGAUUAAAAGCGUGCAUCACACCCAGUCUUACCUCAAAUUCUUCAAGUCUGCUUUUGCAGAGGCCCCAGCUGGAUUCCCAGUGUCCGAGUGGAGGCUAACAACCACCUGUAACUUCUUAAAAAUAGAAUAAAUCUUUAAAUAAAUCCCCAAAGUGUAGUGCGCAUAGUAAAAAAUGCCUUUUAGACAUGUAGAAAUAGCUCAGUCAGGAUCCUCAGGACACCCAAGGCUGCACCUGAUAACCAGAAGCCAGUGACAUCACUCACUCACGAUAACCAGACACAAGACUAGAACCUCGUGCUGCCCGCUGGACAGCAUAUGAGCAGAGGCCAAGAGCAAUGCUGGGCUCUGCACAGCUGGGGAGACGCCACCUCGAUCUGCUCUACAGCGGAAGAUCCCCCAGGAUCCUGACCCUCCAAUCAGAGACUUCUGUUAGAGACUGGCCCGGACCU